RNAcentral lists this ribosomal RNA (506 nucleotides) under uncultured bacterium. RNAcentral's name for it is "partial 16S ribosomal RNA". It matches the Rfam family "Bacterial small subunit ribosomal RNA", at positions 29 to 523 of the family's 1533-position model. The record is from RNAcentral.
AGUGAACGCUGGCGGUAGGCCUAACACAUGCAAGUCGAACGGCAGCACAGGAGAGCUUGCUCUCUGGGUGGCGAGUGGCGGACGGGUGAGGAAUACAUCGGAAUCUACUUUUUCGUGGGGGAUAACGUAGGGAAACUUACGCUAAUACCGCAUACGACCUACGGGUGAAAGCAGGGGAUCCUCGGACCUUGCGCGAUUGAAUGAGCCGAUGUCGGAUUAGCUAGUUGGCGGGGGAAAGGCCCACCAAGGCGCCGAUCCGUAGCUGGUCUGAGAGGAUGAUCAGCCACGCUGGAACUGAGACACGGUCCAGACUCCUACGGGAGGCAGCAGUGGGGAAUAUUGGACAAUGGGCGCAAGCCUGAUCCAGCCAUACCGCGUGGGUGAAGAAGGCCUUCGGGUUGUAAAGCCCUUUUGUUGGGAAAGAAAUCCAGCUGGUUAAUACCCGGUUGGGGUGACGGUACCCAAAGAAUAAGCACCGGCUAACUUCGUGCCAGCCGCCGCGGUAA